RNAcentral lists this ribosomal RNA (291 nucleotides) under Salmonella enterica subsp. enterica serovar Joal. RNAcentral describes it as "partial 16S ribosomal RNA". It matches the Rfam family "Bacterial small subunit ribosomal RNA", at positions 488 to 779 of the family's 1533-position model. Lineage: Bacteria; Pseudomonadati; Pseudomonadota; Gammaproteobacteria; Enterobacterales; Enterobacteriaceae. The record is from RNAcentral.
AGCACCGGCUAACUCCGUGCCAGCAGCCGCGGUAAUACGGAGGGUGCAAGCGUUAAUCGGAAUUACUGGGCGUAAAGCGCACGCAGGCGGUCUGUCAAGUCGGAUGUGAAAUCCCCGGGCUCAACCUGGGAACUGCAUUCGAAACUGGCAGGCUUGAGUCUUGUAGAGGGGGGUAGAAUUCCAGGUGUAGCGGUGAAAUGCGUAGAGAUCUGGAGGAAUACCGGUGGCGAAGGCGGCCCCCUGGACAAAGACUGACGCUCAGGUGCGAAAGCGUGGGGAGCAAACAGGAUU